GAAUUCUCUAUGAGCGUAGGAUGUUAGAUAAAAAUUUCAUCAAAUUUGGAGUCUGAAAAGUGGAUCAAACCCGGGAUGAAGUAACCGGCUGUCGGUCCAGGUUACUGUUUAUUCGGGUGGAAAAUAGGGGAUUUCAUGCUAUAAUAGGGUAUUAAGCCUAGAUCAAGCUAAAAGGGACCUUGUACUCAUGCAAGGGAGUUCCUAAUACACAUAAAUGGUGAGUUAAUUAAUUAAAAAGAAAAAAAAGAAAGAAAAGAAAAGAUUUAGGAAACGGGGAAGCUGAAUCAAUUAAAUUUCCCUAUGUUAUAAUUGGCACGUAGAUUAUGACCCUUGAUACAAGACUAAAUGUAUUGUAAAUGCAUGUCACAGUUGGGCAAGAAGUUAGGGAGCAAGAAAAAGAAGCCCCCUACUGCCUACCAUAAAGUUUUGGAGGCGUAUCGAGGCCGUGCCAGAUUGACAGGUGAGUGGGAGUCAUGUACUUUGCACCAUGAGCAUUCUUAAUUCAUUUUCAUGAAUGUCGCCAAGUGUGAAUUGAUUCCACUUGUGCAUAUUGACUGAUAUUGUAGUAGAUUCCUCUAUAAUCUUGAUUCUCUAUGCUUGAUUAUUCUGUACAUGCAUUUGAGGGAACAUUGAGAGGAAUUACGAGGGGUUGAUGAGUAAUCAAAUUGAUUCCGAUUUGUGAAAUGAUUUCUUUUGUAAAUUGAUUUUAUUUCAUCUAUUUCAAAGAUUUGUAGAGCCUUUUUAGUGGUAUAUUGAGUUGUAUUGCACUUCCUUGACCCUCACUUCUAACCCUGAUGUUAGUUUAUGAUUGGAUCAUGAUCAAGUGAGUGGUAGUCUUGAUUAUACUCCUUUUUAGUAGAGUAUUGGGAGGGUGCAUUAUGGCAUUUAUGCAUGGCUUGGCAGUAUCUGCAGGACACCUAUAGUCGAUGGGGGUUGAACAUCGGCCUUUGUGCACAUAGUAGCCUUCUGGGUGGGCGGAGCCCAGUCCCUUCCUGGGGGGACACGGCCCUAGGCGUAGGAUCGCCCGGUCCUAUGACUUAUAUUCUGCUUGCCGCCGGGCAUAGUAAGACCCCGCGAGGUGCAGUACGGCUUUCCGCGGAUGUAGAAUUUCCGCGAGGUGCCGUUUAGUAUAUAGAUGUGAGAUGGAUUUCUGUUCUGGAUACUAGCCAACAUUUACAUGAUCAGUGUGGUAUCUUAUCCUGCAUAUGUAUGUGACAGUGGGGAGUUGUUGCUGGUUCGCCUGGGGCGUAAAACCCACCUUCCGAUAGCUGUUUAGCAUUUACAUUAUUGAUAUGGUGUCUUAUCCUGCAUAUGCAUGUGACAGUGGGGAGUUGUUGUUAGUUCGCCUGGGGCGUAAAACCUACCUCCCGACAGCUGUCUAGUGAUUAUUUACAUAUUGGUGUGGUGUCAUAUUCGAUAUAUGCAUAUGGCAGUAGGGAGUUGUUGCUGGUUUGCCUGGGGCGUAAAACCCACCUCCCGAUAGCUGUCUUGUUGAUGAUUCAGCCUAUUGACACCUGAUUUAUAUGAUUCAGUACUAUGACCUGUUGAGCAUAUUCAUGAGUAGCAUAUAUGUUUACUUGAUUAUUCCAUAUAUGCUUCAGAUGAGUUGAUAUUGAUUGUGGUGGUAUUGAUGACUUACU
Molecule: long non-coding RNA, 1640 nt
Filed under: Phoenix dactylifera (date palm)
Lineage: Eukaryota; Viridiplantae; Streptophyta; Magnoliopsida; Arecales; Arecaceae
Description: long non-coding RNA (PDAC_LNC008579)
Source: RNAcentral